Long non-coding RNA from Erpetoichthys calabaricus (reedfish), 2314 nucleotides. RefSeq lists it as uncharacterized. The transcript has 2 exons. The record is from RefSeq and is a predicted model, not a curated record. Lineage: Eukaryota; Metazoa; Chordata; Cladistia; Polypteriformes; Polypteridae.
GAAAGAUGUUCUACUGAGCACCUUGUACUCUGUGUAUUUGGUGACUAAAAACUUUAAUUUCAGCAAUGCUUGCAAGCUCUGGCUAUGAACUGACAAAAAUAUAUUGUGCAAGGGCUCAACAAAAUCAGUUUCUAUAUGAUUCAAACUGUUUUCUAGGUUAACUUCCUCAAAGUAAAAUGAGACAGGGUGAAGAAGUCACAAGGUCGCAGGGGGUACAUGACAUUUGUCUUUGGCUAAUAUUGGAGACAGUAAGAAAAUGCUUAGUUAGAGAUAUAAGAAAAAGCUUAGCUUUUAUAUAUUGUUUUAAGGAACUAACCGUUGUUGUUGUUUUGCAGUACUUGUGUAAUGAAAUCACAAGACAAAGCUCUAUAAAAACUUUGGAAUACCCUGGCCGGGGGGCAGAUGAAGGGCGGUGUCCUGGGACUGCGCUUCUCUGUCACUUUACCUUUGCCUGGUGUGUUUGAAUAAAAGAUUUUUUACUAACUUUAAAUAUAUCUCUCUGUCUUCAGUCACGAGAAACGACACCAUAGAAAAAGUGUCCACAGUUUUCUGGCGCCCGAACGUGGGACAGGAGACGACUGGCUGACUCCUCGAGCGGGACCACCUCAGUGAUCCGUCUUACCAGCGGACUGCCGUCAAUCUGAGCUCCGGCAGCAGAGUAAGCAGCUCCGGCAAAACUUAGGACUGCCCUGUCCUGAGAGGGCUCCUGCGUGAGGAGCCUCCGGUCUCCUCUUUGGCUACAUCUACGGUGACUGAACGGAUUUCCAGACAGAGUUUAAACACUUCCAGGCUGGGUCUUGCAGGUCUCCGAACCUCGUUGAAGGAAGUCCACCAGCAGGUUAAUCAGGCCUGGAGGACCAGCCCACCUUCUAAGGAUUCACCAAUUCCCUUGGGCACCUGGAUCCUGGUUCGAGACACUCGGAGGAAACACUGGCAUCAGCCUAGGUGGAGAGGACCAUUCCAAGUUCUUCUGUCCACGCCACAUGCUGUGAAAGUUGAAGGAUUGCCUGCCUGGAUUCACGCUUCACACUGCAAAAGAUGGCAUCCCUAACAUUCAUACUCAUUUUGAUUACAGUUUUACUGUUCUUCCUUCCAUUAUCCAUUUUACGAGUGACAUUGACUUUCCAGGUGGGGAAGACUGCCUCAUUCCAGGUUGACUUUUGUGUAAUUGUCCCCUGUAGUGGCAAACAAGAACAAUGGGAAGAGUUUGACAAAAUAUGUCUGUGUGAGCUACCCUUAUUAUGACUCUGAUUCAAGUUUUGAUUCAUCUGACUCUGAAUGUGCCUUCUGGAGUGAUGUGUUUGCAAAUACAGGACCACACGACUGGGGUUAUGAACCCUGGCAGGACACACAGUAUGGCCUAAAGACUCGAUUUUCUAUUAUAAAAGGACACGUCCCUCAUGACUGUGCUGAGAACCAUUGUAACCCUUUGAUUAUUACUUUAAAAGAUCCCUCUUCGCAGGAUUCAGGAACUUAUGUUUUAGCUGCAUAUGCAAGUGGUUCCGAUCCACUAGGAUUUUUUUUUCAAAUUAAGGUUACUAAUAAUUCCCAUGCUACUAAAACUUGCCAGCUUUCUUCUACCUUUCCUCCUGAUUCACAACAAACUCUUGUUAAAAUAAUGAAUGUUUCUACUCUUUCAUCCUCCUUUUCUAUUGUGUCCAAAUAUUUCACUGCUUCCAUGGCUAAGGCUUAUAUGUUACACGAGGAGCGAAUGCUCCAAUUCUCUUCCUCCUCUACUUCUACUCCUUCCCCUUCUCCUAUUCUUUCCCGUUCUGCUCCUAUCUAACCUAUAUUUUUGUCUGUUCAAAAGGGGGGAGUGUAGAAGAAAGAUGUUCUACUGAGCACCUUGUACUCUGUGUAUUUGGUGACUAAAAACUUUAAUUUCAGCAAUGCUUGCAAGCUCUGGCUAUGAACUGACAAAAAUAUAUUGUGCAAGGGCUCAACAAAAUCAGUUUCUAUAUGAUUCAAACUGUUUUCUAGGUUAACUUCCUCAAAGUAAAAUGAGACAGGGUGAAGAAGUCACAAGGUCGCAGGGGGUACAUGACAUUUGUCUUUGGCUAAUAUUGGAGACAGUAAGAAAAUGCUUAGUUAGAGAUAUAAGAAAAAGCUUAGCUUUUAUAUAUUGUUUUAAGGAACUAACCGUUGUUGUUGUUUUGCAGUACUUGUGUAAUGAAAUCACAAGACAAAGCUCUAUAAAAACUUUGGAAUACCCUGGCCGGGGGGCAGAUGAAGGGCGGUGUCCUGGGACUGCGCUUCUCUGUCACUUUACCUUUGCCUGGUGUGUUUGAAUAAAAGAUUUUUUACUAACUUUAAA